This 72-nucleotide transfer RNA is filed under the name Camelus ferus (Wild Bactrian camel). It matches the Rfam family "tRNA". From Rfam's summary of the family: Transfer RNA (tRNA) molecules are approximately 80 nucleotides in length. The record is from Rfam by way of RNAcentral. Lineage: Eukaryota; Metazoa; Chordata; Mammalia; Artiodactyla; Camelidae.
GUGAGUAUAGCUCAGUGGUAGAGAGUGUGCAUACCAUGCACAGGGUUCUGGGUUCAAUCCCCAGUACCUCUA